GCGUAAAAUGCAAUGUGUACGUUGUGUGCGACUAAAGUCGCAUGCGCCGUGCGUGUUGGGAGGGCCUCCGCGCCUUCCCGAAAUGCGUGUCUGCCGAUGGCCCGAGACGGGACGCUUGCGUCACCCGGGCCCGACGCACAACCCA
Molecule: unclassified non-coding RNA, 145 nt
Filed under: uncultured Ascomycota
Lineage: Eukaryota; Fungi; Ascomycota
Description: sequence contains ITS2
Source: RNAcentral